This 284-nucleotide long non-coding RNA is filed under the name Nicotiana tabacum (common tobacco). RNAcentral's name for it is "long non-coding RNA (NTAB_LNC013997)". Lineage: Eukaryota; Viridiplantae; Streptophyta; Magnoliopsida; Solanales; Solanaceae. The record is from RNAcentral.
GAACAAGAACUUAACAAGCUGCGUACUCCAAUCACAAAAGAUUUCUUCAAAUUCGAGUACCUUGUGUUCUCCAUUUUCAGCAAUGACAGGAGACUGAAAAUGAGGUGAGGUCAGAAUUUUGAUUUUUAUAAAGCUUCGGCUUUAUAUAUAUUUGGUCAGAAUUAUUGGAUUUGCAGGUUUGGACCAGUUUUUGACGCCCUUUCAAACGUAAUUAAUUAAGGAGAUAUUUCAAAGAAGUAGGAGGAGAGAGGACGGCCGGACAGAGUAGGGGGGAGAAAGGCGUC